This 73-nucleotide transfer RNA is filed under the name Candidatus Aenigmatarchaeota archaeon. Its description in RNAcentral is "tRNA-Ile". It matches the Rfam family "tRNA". From Rfam's summary of the family: Transfer RNA (tRNA) molecules are approximately 80 nucleotides in length. Their secondary structure includes four short double-helical elements and three loops (D, anti-codon, and T loops). The record is from RNAcentral. Lineage: Archaea; Nanobdellati; Candidatus Aenigmatarchaeota.
GGGCCUGUGGCUCAGUGGUUAGAGCGCUGCGCUGAUAACGCAGAGGUCGGGAGUUCGAUUCUCCCCAGGCCCA